UGAGGAACAUGACCUUCGGCGGGGGAUAGCCGGCCCAACGGCCGGGUAAUACCGCGUACGACCACAUGGGGACAUCCCUGAGUGGUGAAAGCAGCAAUGCGCCGAUGGAGUGCCUCGCGGCCUAUUCAGCUAGUUGGUGAGGUAACGGCUCACCAAGGCGACGGACGGGUAGCUGGUCUGAGAGGUCGACCAGCCACACUGGGACUGAGAUACGGUCCAGCUCCUGCGGGAGG
Molecule: ribosomal RNA, 233 nt
Filed under: uncultured bacterium
Lineage: Bacteria
Description: partial 16S ribosomal RNA
Rfam family: Bacterial small subunit ribosomal RNA
Source: RNAcentral